AACGAACGCUGGCGGCAGGCCUAACACAUGCCAGUCGAGCGAGAACUUCGUUUCUGGCGGCGGACGGGGGAGUCGCGCGGGGGAAUGUUCCCUUAUCUACCGAAUACCCCUGUUUCGCGGGGGGUAAUGCCGGAUACGCUCUGUUGGGAAAAGAUAUAACGGAGGAGGAUAAGCACGCGUUGGCUUAGGCUGUUGGGGGGGUAAUGGCCUAUCACGGCGAGGAUCGUUAGCUGGUUUGAGAGGCUGAGCAGCCACGCUGGGGCUGAGACGCGGCCCAGACUCUUACGCGAGGGAGCAGUGGGGGAUCUUAGACAACGGGGGCAAUCCUGAUCUAGCCAGGCCGGGUGAGUGAUGAAGGCCUUAGGGAUGUAAAGCUGUUUCAGCUGGGAAGAUAAUGACGGUACCAGCAGAAGAAGCCCCGGCUAACUCCGUG
RNAcentral lists this ribosomal RNA (433 nucleotides) under uncultured bacterium. Its description in RNAcentral is "partial 16S ribosomal RNA". It matches the Rfam family "Bacterial small subunit ribosomal RNA", at positions 28 to 507 of the family's 1533-position model. The record is from RNAcentral.